This 495-nucleotide ribosomal RNA is filed under the name uncultured bacterium. RNAcentral describes it as "partial 16S ribosomal RNA". It matches the Rfam family "Bacterial small subunit ribosomal RNA", at positions 28 to 507 of the family's 1533-position model. The record is from RNAcentral.
GACGAACGCUGGCGGCGUGCCUAAUACAUGCAAGUAGAACGCUGAAGGAGGAGCUUGCUUCUCUGGAUGAGUUGCGAACGGGUGAGUAACGCGUAGGUAACCUGCCUUGUAGCGGGGGAUAACUAUUGGAAACGAUAGCUAAUACCGCAUAAUAGUAGAUGUUGCAUGACAUUUGCUUAAAAGGUGCAAUUGCAUCACUACCAGAUGGACCUGCGUUGUAUUAGCUAGUUGGUGGGGUAACGGCUCACCAAGGCGACGAUACAUAGCCGACCUGAGAGGGUGAUCCGCCACACUGGGACUGAGACACGGCCCAGACUCCUACGGGAGGAAGCAGUAGGGAGUCUUCGGCAAUGGACGGAAGUCUGACCGAGCAACGCCGCGUGAGUGAAGAAGGUUUUCGGAUCGUAAAGCUCUGUUGUAAGAGAAGAACGAGUGUGAGAGUGGAAAGUUCACACUGUGACGGUAUCUUACCAGAAAGGAACGGCUAACUACGUG